ACGACUCUCGGCAACGGAUAUCUCGGCUCUCGCAUCGAUGAAGAACGUAGCGAAAUGCGAUACCUGGUGUGAAUUGCAGAAUCCCGUGAACCAUCGAGUCUUUGAACGCAAGUUGCGCCCGAGGCCCUUCGGCCGAGGGCACGCCUGCCUGGGCGUCACGCCAAA
This 165-nucleotide ribosomal RNA is filed under the name Olyra latifolia. RNAcentral describes it as "5.8S ribosomal RNA". It matches the Rfam family "5.8S ribosomal RNA". Rfam says of the family: 5.8S ribosomal RNA (5.8S rRNA) is a component of the large subunit of the eukaryotic ribosome. The record is from RNAcentral. Lineage: Eukaryota; Viridiplantae; Streptophyta; Magnoliopsida; Poales; Poaceae.